RNAcentral lists this ribosomal RNA (626 nucleotides) under uncultured euryarchaeote. Its description in RNAcentral is "bacterial SSU rRNA". It matches the Rfam family "Archaeal small subunit ribosomal RNA", at positions 20 to 653 of the family's 1478-position model. The record is from RNAcentral. Lineage: Archaea; Methanobacteriati; Methanobacteriota.
UUUUCCUCCGUUUCGGGGUCCGAUUUAGCCUGCUAGUUGUACGUUUACCGUAGCGAAAAGCUCCGUAACACGUGGCCAAACUACCCUGUGGAGGACCAUAACCUCGGGAAACUGAGGCUAAUAGUCCAUACGACACACAAGUUGGAAUACUGCGUGUCCGAAACGCUCCGGCGCCACAGGAUGUGGCUGCGGCUGAUUAGGUAGACGGUGGGGUAACGGCCCACCGUGCCGAUAAUCAGUACGGGUUGUGAGAGCAAGAGCCCGGAGACGGACUCUGAGACAAGAGUCCGGGCCCUACGGGGCGCAGCAGGCGCGAAACCUUUACACUGCACGCCAGUGCGAUAAGGGGACCCCGAGUGCGAGGACAUACUAGUCCUCGCUUUUCUGUACCGUAGGGAGGUACAGGAACAAGAGCUGGGCAAGACCGGUGCCAGCCGCCGCGGUAAUACCGGCAGCUCAAGUGAUGGCCGCUGUUAUUGGGCCUAAAGCGUCCGUAGCUGGCCACGCAAGUCCGUCGGGAAAUCCAUCAGCUCAACUGAUGGGCGUNCGGCGGAAACUGCGUGGCUUGGGACCGGAAGGCUNGAGGGGUACGUUCCGGGGUAGGAAUGAAAUCCGUAAUNCUGGAC